ACUACAGCUACAUUUUAUAUAUAUUAACUACACGAUGAAAAAUAAUGUUAAUUUAAUUGAAUAUAAUCAUAGGUAAAUCAUGAUAAAAUCAAAAAUGACAAAUAUAUUUUUAAACUUUAUCAUUGUUUAUCAUGAACAAAAUAAAUAAAGUCUUCAUGGUGUACAGUGUAAUAGUUACCAUGUAUAUUUAUUGAAAAUGCGCAUGCGCAAGCGUGGAAAAAACCACAAAGAACGGUGGGCGCGUUGCAAAGGGCACUUGAAAUAGCGGAACGUUCCGGAAUUUGAUUGACAUUUCGAACGCACCCAUAGAAAGUUCUCGAUUUUGUAGCCCUCUGGUGGAAUAAAAAAGCCCUAUCGACAACAUCCUCUUGAAAAUUGAAUUUGCUCCGAGAAAGAAGUCAGUGCGGUUGAGGCAUUCGUUGCGAUAAGUACAUAGUUUUUUUUUCAACUCUGGGUGGCUCCGCCUCGGAGGGCACUUACUGGGCCCUGGUACCACCUGAUAAAGUGAUACUCAUGAUAUCAGAGUGGUUCUGGGACUAUUGAUAAUUAUUCAUUUAACGCACACAGAAAAUUGUAAUGGUCUAUAAAAAUGAAACAGAAUCGUAAAAAAAAUAAGUAGCGUCGGGAAAUUUGCCUGAAAAAAUCUGGUCAUCAUUGAAAAUUUUAUCGAAGUGAUGAUGAAAAUGUACAUCUGAACACGCAAGUUUUAAUAUAUCAGAACCCGUAAAUUCAAUGAUUUCAAUGAAAUUGAAAAACAGAGGUAAAAUCCAUCAACUCCAGAGCCAACUCUGAACAAAUUUACACGUGUUCAUGAAUAAAAUGUAAAUUCAAUAAUUUCGAAGAAAUGGAAAAACAAAGGCAGAAUUCAUCAACUCCAGAGCCAACCCUCAACAAAAUUUGUAUGUGCUCAUGAAUAAAAUAAUUUAAAUGUAAAAUAAAAUAAAAGGCAGGAUUCAUCAACUCCAGAGCCAGCUUCGAACAAAGUUACACGUGUUCAUAAAUAAAAUAAUUUAAAUAAAAGAAGAAGAUAGUUCCAGUGAUCAUAUAAAUUUACACAAUGAAGAAGGGCGUACGAUGUCUACAUCUUCAAAGCCAAAAGUACAACUAGCAGCAAUGUCAACAGUCCACGUGGCAUUACGAUUUUGUGAGUGCUUUGAAUGCAUAAUUGUCAGUUGACUCAUUAGAACCACUCUGGUACCACUUGAGAUUAGAAAAUUAUCUAUCACUUCAAAAAAAAUUCAUCUCAGAUUAAUAAAAUAAUUAAGCACUUUUUUUUUUUUUCUUUUUCACUCUUGUAUAGAGUAAAUAUUAUUGAGUUUUUCACUCUUGCAUAUAGAGAUAAUAAUAUUGCGUUUUUUUUUUUUUUUUUUAAUGACCAUGAGCAAGAACUGAAACUCAGGUAAACAAAAACACUAGUUAUUAUAUUAGUUUAAGUUUAGUUUUUAUAUAUAAUAUAAACGGUUGUCACGGUUGAUAAAAUUUUCAAUUAAUCUCUUAUAUUAAGUACAAGAUUAUUAGUCAGUAAUCAUCAAUAACUCUAAAAACUAAAAAAUAGUUAUUAUAAUAGUUUAGGUUUAGGUUUAUAAAUAUAUAAACCAUUGUGUCACUGUUGGUAAAAAUUUUAAUGAAUCUCUUAUAUUAAGUAGAAGAUUAUUGGUAAGUUAUAUCAUCAAUAACUCUAAAAUAAUAUAAUUUAUAAUUAUAAUUAUAUUAUAUAUUGUAAACCUUUUUUCUGAGGUUGUUAUAUUGUUAAAAAGUUUGAUCAAUCUAGUAUAUUAUCUAAUUUUUCUUAUGUUGUUUCUCUUUUUUAAUAUAAUCGAUAUUUAAAUAUUCAUAUUCAAUUUGAUCACGGUCAAGUUAAUUCGUACAAUGUACGUUCAUAAGAAUCAAGAGGCACAGCAGUGUCUCGUGUCAAGUGUUAGGAAGAAAAUAUAAUAAUGAAAAAAUAAUUCAUUAUUAAUGCAUUAAUGAUUAUACAGGUAAUAGUUAAUUAAUUAUUUAUGUAGCUUCAUAUCAAAAGAUAAAAAAAAAAAAUUUUUGUUUUUAUUAUAUUAGCACAAAUAAACCACCGCUACCUUCGAUGAGCAUAUAUGUAUAUAUAUAUAUAUUAUAAUAUAAUUACAUAUAAUAAAUAUAUAUAUAUAUAUGUAUAUAUCUAUAAAUAUUCUACGAUCGUCAAUAUAAUUAAAACACAUAUUCAUGAAAAAAUUCAAUAAAAUAAUAAUAAUUAUAUUUAAUCCACUAGCUAACUACGUUUACUGAUAAAAAACUAUCAAAUCAUUUAUAAUCGACUCAGUACUGUUGUAAACAAUUGAGUACAGCAGAUUAAAAGUGAUGUUAAUUGGUUAGGUUUAGUAAAUGAGUAUCGACUCUUUGAAAAAUAAGUUAAAUACUUAAUAAAAACAUGUAUAUCAUUAAGAUUAGUUUAGAAAUGACUUGAAAUGUUACCAUUUCUCAUAACGUCAUGUUAUUAAAAACAUAAGAUUAUUAUAUUAAAAAACUUUUUCUAAGUUAAAUGAAUAAUUUAAAUGA
This 2532-nucleotide long non-coding RNA is filed under the name Aphidius gifuensis. RNAcentral's name for it is "uncharacterized LOC122851620, transcript variant X1". Lineage: Eukaryota; Metazoa; Arthropoda; Insecta; Hymenoptera; Braconidae. The record is from RNAcentral.